CAAAAUGACUCUCGGCAACGGAUAUCUCGGCUCUCGCAUCGAUGAAGAACGUAGCGAAAUGCGAUACUUGGUGUGAAUUGCAGAAUCCCGUGAACCAUCGAGUCUUUGAACGCAAGUUGCGCCCGAAGCCAUUAUGCCGAGGGCACGCCUGCCUGGGUGUCACG
This 164-nucleotide ribosomal RNA is filed under the name Ateleia pterocarpa. Its description in RNAcentral is "5.8S ribosomal RNA". It matches the Rfam family "5.8S ribosomal RNA". From Rfam's summary of the family: 5.8S ribosomal RNA (5.8S rRNA) is a component of the large subunit of the eukaryotic ribosome. Lineage: Eukaryota; Viridiplantae; Streptophyta; Magnoliopsida; Fabales; Fabaceae. The record is from RNAcentral. RNAcentral also lists the same sequence under 1 other name.